GAUCCUCUGGAGAUUCUCGGAAACGGGGGCUAAUACCGGAUAGGACCUGCUGCCGCAUGGUGGUGGGUGGAAAGUUUUUCGGCUUGGGAUGGGCUCGCGGCCUAUCAGCUUGUUGGUGGGGUGAUGGCCUACCAAGGCGACGACGGGUAGCCGGCCUGAGAGGGCGACCGGCCACACUGGGACUGAGACACGGCCCAGACUCCUACGGGAGGCAGCAGUGGGGAAUAUUGCACAAUGGGCGGAAGCCUGAUGCAGCGACGCCGUGUGGGGGAUGACGGCCUUCGGGUUGUAAACCUCUUUCAGUAGGGACGAAGCGUUUAUGACGGUACCUGCAGAAGAAGCGCCGGCCAACUACGUGCCAGCAGCCGCGGUAAGACGUAGGGCGCGAGCGUUGUCCGGAUUUAUUGGGCGUAAAGAGCUCGUAGGCGGUUUGUUGCGUCGACUGUGAAAACCUGUGGCUUAACUGUGGGCUUGCAGUCGAUACGGGCAGGCUAGAGUUCGGUAGGGGAGACUGGAAUUCCUGGUGUAGCGGUGAAAUGCGCAGAUAUCAGGAGGAACACCGGUGGCGAAGGCGGGUCUCUGGGCCGAUACUGACGCUGAGGAGCGAAAGCGUGGGGAGCGAACAGGAUUAGAUACCCUGGUAGUCCAUGCUGUAAACGUUGGGCGC
This 667-nucleotide ribosomal RNA is filed under the name uncultured Micromonosporaceae bacterium. RNAcentral's name for it is "bacterial SSU rRNA". It matches the Rfam family "Bacterial small subunit ribosomal RNA", at positions 133 to 816 of the family's 1533-position model. Lineage: Bacteria; Bacillati; Actinomycetota; Actinomycetes; Micromonosporales; Micromonosporaceae. The record is from RNAcentral.